RNAcentral lists this long non-coding RNA (583 nucleotides) under Gossypium barbadense (sea-island cotton). RNAcentral's name for it is "long non-coding RNA (GBAR_LNC011952)". The record is from RNAcentral. Lineage: Eukaryota; Viridiplantae; Streptophyta; Magnoliopsida; Malvales; Malvaceae.
GAUAUUUGGUAAACCUCAAAAGCAACAUAUUUUAAUCCUAUGCUUGGCAUAUUUUUGGAUGAUUUAUCAUAAGAUUUAGUGAAUUUGAUGCUUCUAAUCCUUUAAUUUCAUGUUUUAUAUCCAGAUGAGCAUAGAAAAGUGAAAAGUGCAAAAAAAGAAGGCAAAAAACGAAAAAAAUAGGUUUAUUUCGGUGCUGCACAUGGCCCAGACACUUCCACACGGGUAAUCCACAUGUCCGCGUGAGACACACGGGUAGACCACACGUUCGUGUAUCAUGGCUGUGUCAACUUAAAACCAUAUCAGAAUUGCACACGACUUAAGUACCAUCACACGGGGCGUGCCACACGGCCGUGUCCCUAUCAAGACCUAUUUUAAUUCUACUUGAAAAGGCUAAUUUUGGGCUAUUUUAGGCAUUCUAAAGUCUAUUUAAACACACUAGGAGAGGAUCUAAGGGGGAGACACAGAGUAGAAGGCAGAAAAUACUCGAAGACAACCAUUAGAAUCAGCUCGGAAGCAUGAUUUACUUCAAGACUGAAGAUCUCCAUUCAAUUUCUACCGAAGUUUUUGGGUUUCUUUACGUUUU